This 534-nucleotide ribosomal RNA is filed under the name unidentified microorganism. Its description in RNAcentral is "bacterial SSU rRNA". It matches the Rfam family "Bacterial small subunit ribosomal RNA", at positions 230 to 776 of the family's 1533-position model. The record is from RNAcentral.
CUCACGGCCUAUCAGCUAGUUGGUGAGGUAAUGGCUCACCAAGGCGACGACGGGUAGCCGGCCUGAGAGGGUGACCGGCCACACUGGGACUGAGACACGGCCCAGACUCCUACGGGAGGCAGCAGUGGGGAAUAUUGCACAAUGGGCGCAAGCCUGAUGCAGCAACGCCGCGUGAGGGACGANGGCCUUCGGGUUGUAAACCUCUUUUAGCAGGGAAGAAGCGAGAGUGACGGUACCUGCAGAAAAAGCACCGGCUAACUACGUGCCAGCAGCCGCGGUAAUACGUAGGGUGCAAGCGUUGUCCGGAAUUAUUGGGCGUAAAGAGCUCGUAGGCGGUUUGUCACGUCUGCUGUGAAAACCCGAGGCUCAACCUCGGGCUUGCAGUGGGUACGGGCAGACUAGAGUGCGGUAGGGGAGAUUGGAAUUCCUGGUGUAGCGGUGGAAUGCGCAGAUAUCAGGAGGAACACCGAUGGCGAAGGCAGAUCUCUGGGCCGUAACUGACGCUGAGGAGCGAAAGCAUGGGGAGCAAACAGG